RNAcentral lists this long non-coding RNA (346 nucleotides) under Rattus norvegicus (Norway rat). Its description in RNAcentral is "long non-coding RNA NONRATT031208". The record is from RNAcentral. Lineage: Eukaryota; Metazoa; Chordata; Mammalia; Rodentia; Muridae.
ACAACGAAUGCAGCUGGCCCAGAAACUGCAGCAGCAGCAGCAGCAGCAGCAGCAGCAGCAGCAGCAGCAGCUCUUAGGGCAGGUGGCAGUCCAACAACAACAGGGUCCUGUAGGACAGAACCAGGCUCUGGGUCCUAAGCCUCAGGGCCUUCUGCCUCCCAGCAACCACCAGGGUCUCCUGGUUCAACAGUUGUCCCCCCAACAAUCACAGGGGUCCCAGGGCAUGCUAGGUUCUUCCCAGGUGGCAGUGCUGCAACAGCAGCAGCAGCAGCAGCAGCAGCAGCAGCAGCAGCAGCAGCAGCAGCACUCUGGAGCUUUGGGUCCUCAGGGCCCUCACAGACAGGUG